AACCUGAAUAGUUUUUAGGUAAAUCAAAUGAAGUAUAAUGAACAGUCAAAACUUAGCCCAAGAUUACUUUAUGGAGAUAAAAGAAAAGAUAAGUACACAAUAAUAGAAUUAAACAUGAAAAUCUCAUGCAAGAACUAUCUGUAAUCUGGAAAGACAUCAUAAGAUCAGUGCUCGAAGAGCAAAUUGUUUAUUCACAGUUAAACUGGUCCUCUUCUAUCUUUCUAUAGAUCCUUCUUGCUUUGGCGUACCAAAGAUAUAUUUGACUUGGCACCUUCUAGGUUUAUCUCUAUAACAAAAGAUGCUUUGGCUUACCAAAGAUAUAUUUGACUUGGCACCUUCUAGGUUUAUCUCUAUAACAAAAGAUAGAACUGAUAACCAGACUGUGCCCUGAUCCUCCAUUUCCACAAAUAAAGGCAUUAAUCAUUCUUGGGAGAAUGUCUUACUCAAAGUAAACAAUCAGGAACCUUAUCACAGAGAAAAUGACAAGAUAUGAUAAUGAAUCGCAAAAUUAAGCAUCCAUAUUGAGAUCUUACAGUACAUUGGACAUACCAUU
Molecule: long non-coding RNA, 553 nt
Filed under: Nicotiana benthamiana
Lineage: Eukaryota; Viridiplantae; Streptophyta; Magnoliopsida; Solanales; Solanaceae
Description: long non-coding RNA (NBEN_LNC008475)
Source: RNAcentral